GGGAGCGGAUGGGUUCUGGUGUUCCCUCUGGUCUUCAAAACCAGUAUAAGGAGUUAGAAGCUUCUUGGGUGAGUUCGAUUCUCACACGUUCCCGCCA
This 97-nucleotide transfer RNA is filed under the name Aerococcus sanguinicola. RNAcentral's name for it is "tRNA-Sec". It matches the Rfam family "Selenocysteine transfer RNA". RNAcentral also lists the same sequence under 8 other names. The record is from RNAcentral. Lineage: Bacteria; Bacillati; Bacillota; Bacilli; Lactobacillales; Aerococcaceae.